CUUGCUGAACUUAAAUUUUCCAUGAACUAUAUACCAUGCAUUCAAUCACACACAAACCCAAAUAAUAGGAUCAUACACUGUUUUACUUUUUUUUUUUUUUUUAAGAGAUAGGAUCUUGCUACAUGGACCAGGCUGGAUUCAAACUCCUGAGCUCAAGCGAUCCUCUCACCUCAACCCCACACCGAGUAGCUGGGACUACUGGUGUGUGCCACCAUGCCCAGCUUUCAUACACUCUUGUAAAUACAUAAACAUGAGACUCUGGGAUUAGAAGUAAAACCUUCAUGGAGAUGAAGCUGAGGUAAACUGUUAUUAGUGAUACCUGACCUGCUCUUUUGUGUGACUCAGAUUUUUACUAGUACUUUUGUAAAAAGGGAACAAGCUUCAAAUAGAAGAAUUGCAUGCCUUUUCAAUGGUAAUAAUGGGCUAUGUGGAGAUAUAAAUAAUUGGCUUAUGGGAGACUAAAGAUACAAUGUUCUAAAAUCCUUAAAAAUUCAUAACUUCCAACUCCUUUGCAGGACUACAGUGCUAUGGAAAUAGAUGUCUUAUUCCCAGACAUAAUGUCUCCCAUCCUGUCAGAUGACUUAGGCCAGAAUACAGUUUGGCUGGAAUUAUCACAGUUGGGGAGUACAGAAAAUACAAAAUGGAGGUAAUCAUGCUAGAGGUCCACUAAAAAGGAAACAAAGAAAGGGCAACUUCUGAUUUUACUGAUCUGAAAGCCAAUACCGAGAUCCAGCUGUUGCAUUUUAACAACAAAAAAUUAUAUAUGUGAUGUAACAGAAGGAAAUAACACAUACGUGUAAAAGCCACA
This is a long non-coding RNA of Symphalangus syndactylus (siamang), 808 nucleotides long. RefSeq lists it as uncharacterized. The record is from RefSeq and is a predicted model, not a curated record. Lineage: Eukaryota; Metazoa; Chordata; Mammalia; Primates; Hylobatidae.